UGCCAGCCGCCGCGGUAAUACGUAGGGGGCAAGCGUUAUCCGGAAUCACUGGGUGUAAAGGGUGCGUAGGCGGCAAAGUAAGUCGGAUGUGAAAACCCAGGGCUCAACCUUGGGACUGCAUUUGAAACUGCAUUGCUAGAGUGCAGGAGAGGAAAGUGGAAUUCCUAGUGUAGCGGUGAAAUGCGUAGAUAUUAGGAGGAACACCAGUGGCGAAGGCGGCUUUCUGGACUGUAACUGACGCUGAGGCACGAAAGCGUGGGGAGCGAACAGGAUUAGAUA
RNAcentral lists this ribosomal RNA (279 nucleotides) under uncultured bacterium. RNAcentral describes it as "partial 16S ribosomal RNA". It matches the Rfam family "Bacterial small subunit ribosomal RNA", at positions 506 to 784 of the family's 1533-position model. The record is from RNAcentral.